CUAAAAGCUAGCUCACGUUCCGGCAGUCGAGACUGAGAGGUCGAUCGACCACAUUGGGUCUGAAAAAACCCACGGCAGAUAGUACAGCAGUGGGGUAUAUUGGUCAAUAGCCUAACGGCUGAACCAGCAACUUGGAAGAAUGUAUAACGAAUAAGUCGUAUAAAAUUCUAGGUAGAAGAAAUAUGAUGACAAAUUUCUAUCUAUAAGUCUUGACCAAAUUACGUGCCAGCAGUCGCGGUAACACGUAGAAGACUAGUGUUAUUCAUCUUUAUUAGGUUUAAAGGGUACCUAGACGGGAAAUCAAGCCGUAAAAGGGACUAAUUUUCUAGAGUUUUAUGAGAGAAGGGGCGAAUUUUCGGAGGAAAGUCGAUAUUUUGUGAUACCGAAAGGACGGGUAACAGCGAAGGCAACCUUCUAUGUAGAAACUGACGUUGAGGGACGAAGCCUUGGGUAACGAGAAGGAUUAGAUACCCUAGUAGUCCUUGGAGACAAUUAUGAAUGCCAUAGGUUAGUAAAAUUAAUUUAUAAAUGAAAGUGCAAGCAUUCCACCUCAUGACUAAAGCGGCAACGCCCAAAUUGAAAUCAUUAGACCGUUUCUGAAACCAGUAGUGAAGUAUGUUAUUUAAUUCGAUGAUCCGCGAAUAACCUUACCACGCAUUGAAUAUUAUUCAAUUAUUACAAGUGCUGCACGGCUGUCUUCAGUUAAUGUCGUGAGAUUUUGGUUCGUUCCAUAAAUUAACGAAAACCCUUGCUUUAUUUGUUUUUAUAAAGUAGUUCUCUGUUAUAUUAGAUAAGUAAAAGGACUAGCCA
Molecule: ribosomal RNA, 810 nt
Filed under: Chaetothyriales sp.
Lineage: Eukaryota; Fungi; Ascomycota; Eurotiomycetes; Chaetothyriales
Description: bacterial SSU rRNA
Rfam family: Bacterial small subunit ribosomal RNA
Source: RNAcentral